This 72-nucleotide transfer RNA is filed under the name Apaloderma vittatum (bar-tailed trogon). It matches the Rfam family "tRNA". From Rfam's summary of the family: Transfer RNA (tRNA) molecules are approximately 80 nucleotides in length. Their secondary structure includes four short double-helical elements and three loops (D, anti-codon, and T loops). The record is from Rfam by way of RNAcentral. Lineage: Eukaryota; Metazoa; Chordata; Aves; Trogoniformes; Trogonidae.
GGCUGAUUAGCUCAGUCGGCUGAGCGUGAUGCUGGUAACACCAAGGUCACGGGUUCAAUUCCCGUUCGGUCA